RNAcentral lists this ribosomal RNA (253 nucleotides) under uncultured bacterium. RNAcentral describes it as "partial 16S ribosomal RNA". It matches the Rfam family "Bacterial small subunit ribosomal RNA", at positions 524 to 776 of the family's 1533-position model. The record is from RNAcentral.
UACGUAGGGUCCGAGCGUUGUCCGGAAUUAUUGGGCGUAAAGGGCUCGUAGGCGGUUCGUCACGUCGGGAGUGAAAACUCGGAGCUUAACUCCGAGCCUGCUUCCGAUACGGGCAGACUAGAGGUAGGCAGGGGAGAGCGGAACUCCUGGUGUAGCGGUGGAAUGCGUAGAGAUCAGGAAGAACACCGGUGGCGAAAGCGUUCUGCUAGACCUGUACUGACGCUGAGGCGCGAAAGCGUGGGGAGCGAACAGG